CAAAUGCGCAGUAUAAGGGCUUAUUUAGUAUUAUGGUAGUUGGUUAUGUUAAAAGCUAACCAAGCCUUAGAUGCUUAGCAGGCUUUAACGAGUGAUCUGCCACAACGGGCUUGAAAUAGUGCCUGAACAUUUAUGGCAGCAGUAAGAAUCUUGGGCAAUGCAUUCAAGUGUGACCCAGCAAGUCUCCGUGGAUGAUGAAGAUAUUAAAUUAUAUUGUAAAAUUCUAUCUUUUUAUAUUUAUAAUGAAAAUAUAAAAAGGAAAGCACAGGCUAAAUUCGUGCCAGCAGCCGCGGUAAUACGGAUUGUGCAAGUCUUUGACCUCGUGACUAGGUGUAAAAGGCCACAUAGGAGGUUAUAUAAGUUAUUGAGUAAAUACAGGGUAUAAACCUUGGAAUCUCAAUAAAACUUUAUAACUAGAAUAUAAAAGGGGGUUUAAGAUAUCUUCUAAGUAAAGGUGAAAUUUGUAGAAAUAGAAGGGAU
RNAcentral lists this ribosomal RNA (480 nucleotides) under uncultured bacterium. RNAcentral's name for it is "bacterial SSU rRNA". It matches the Rfam family "Bacterial small subunit ribosomal RNA", at positions 210 to 706 of the family's 1533-position model. The record is from RNAcentral.